AUUGAACGCUGGCGGCAGGCCUAACACAUGCAAGUCGAGCGGAUGAAGGGAGCUUGCUCCUGGAUUCAGCGGCGGACGGGUGAGUAAUGCCUAGGAAUCUGCCUGGUAGUGGGGGAUAACGUCCGGAAACGGGCGCUAAUACCGCAUACGUCCUGAGGGAGAAAGUGGGGGAUCUUCGGACCUCACGCUAUCAGAUGAGCCUAGGUCGGAUUAGCUAGUUGGUGGGGUAAAGGCCUACCAAGGCGACGAUCCGUAACUGGUCUGAGUGGAUGAUCAGUCACAAUGGAACUGAGACACGGUCGAGACUCCUACGGGAGGAAGCAGUGGGGAAUAUUGGACAAUGGGCGAAAGCCUGAUCAAGCAAUGCCGCGUGUGGGAAGAAGGUCUUCGGAUUGUAAAGCACUUUAAGUUGGGAGGAAGGGCAGUAAGUUAAUACCUUGCUGUUUUGACGUUACCAACAGAAUAAGCACCGGCUAACUUCGUG
This 484-nucleotide ribosomal RNA is filed under the name uncultured bacterium. Its description in RNAcentral is "partial 16S ribosomal RNA". It matches the Rfam family "Bacterial small subunit ribosomal RNA", at positions 30 to 507 of the family's 1533-position model. The record is from RNAcentral.